RNAcentral lists this ribosomal RNA (222 nucleotides) under uncultured bacterium. RNAcentral's name for it is "partial 16S ribosomal RNA". It matches the Rfam family "Bacterial small subunit ribosomal RNA", at positions 99 to 334 of the family's 1533-position model. The record is from RNAcentral.
CGGACGGGUGAGUAACGCGUAGGAAUCUAUCUUUGGUGGGGGGACAACCGUGGGAAACUACGGCUAAUACCGCAUGAGGCCUGAGGGCCAAAGCUUAUGAGAGCGCCUGAGGAGGAGCCUGCGUCCGAUUAGCUAGUUGGUGGGGUAAAGGCCUACCAAGGCUGCGAUCGGUAGCUGGUCUGAGAGGAUGAUCAGCCACACUGGGACUGAGACACGGCCCAG